UACGUAGGGGGCAAGCGUUGUCCGGAAUUAUUGGGCGUAAAGAGCGUGUAGGCGGCCAGAUAAGUCCGCUGUGAAAUCUCGAGGCUCAACUUCGAGCUGUCGGUGGAAACUAUCUGGCUAGAGUCCGGAAGAGGAGAAUGGAAUUCCUGGUGUAGCGGUGAAAUGCGCAGAUAUCUGCAGGAACACCCGUGGCGAAAGCGGCGCGCUGGACCACUACUGACGCUGAGGAACGAAAGCUAGGGGAGCAAACAGG
RNAcentral lists this ribosomal RNA (253 nucleotides) under uncultured bacterium. Its description in RNAcentral is "partial 16S ribosomal RNA". It matches the Rfam family "Bacterial small subunit ribosomal RNA", at positions 524 to 776 of the family's 1533-position model. The record is from RNAcentral.